GGACUACAGGGGUAUCUAAUCCUGUUUGCUCCCCACGCUUUCGCGCCUCAGCGUCAGUUACGGUCCAGAUAGCCGCCUUCGCCACCGGUGUUCUUCCCAAUAUCUACGAAUUUCACCUCUACACUGGGAAUUCCACUAUCCUCUCCCGUACUCAAGCUCAGUAGUAUCAAAUGCAGUUCCCAGGUUAAGCCCGGGGCUUUCACAUCUGACUGUCUGAGCCGCCUGCGCGCCCUUUACGCCCAGUAAUUCCGAACAACGCUCGCCCCCUUCGUAUUACCGCGGCUGCUGGCAC
Molecule: ribosomal RNA, 292 nt
Filed under: uncultured bacterium
Lineage: Bacteria
Description: partial 16S ribosomal RNA
Source: RNAcentral